This 64-nucleotide transfer RNA is filed under the name Meristata sp. BMNH 846556. RNAcentral describes it as "tRNA-Arg". The record is from RNAcentral. Lineage: Eukaryota; Metazoa; Arthropoda; Insecta; Coleoptera; Chrysomelidae.
AAAUAAGAAGCAAAAUAUUGCAUUUAGUUUCGACCUAAAAUCUUGAUUAAUUAAUCCUUAUUUU